CUCUGACACUCUGUUCUACGUACUGUCUUUGGGGGGCAGCUUUCCUUUGCUCUGUGGGGUUCUGGUUGGAAUGGCCUCUGAAAGAACCAGGUACAUCUAGCCUGAAGAUUAUGGAGGCAGACCAGACGUUGCUGGAAGGAUGUCACAGGGAAGGGGGAAGGGAAGGGAAGGGGGACCGUCUAUUCUCACAGCUCCCCAGGGCAAAACUAAGAGUGCAGGUGAAGGUGCAGAGAGGCACGAUUUUGCGCUUCUGAAGGUGGAAGGGGAUGUCCAGGCGGUGCCCCAGCACCUCGGCACAGAAAGGAAUCACAGGACCUGGGUUCAGAUCCUGCCUCUACCUAUAUGCCCUUGGGCAAGUAAGGUAAUCUCCCAAGACCUCAGUUUCCUCAUCUGUCAAACGAGAGAGUGGGACGGCCUGUGGUCUCCGAGGCCCCUUCCAGCUCCCAAUUUCAGGUUCCGCGAGGCCUCAUUGGUGCCUAACCUGUGCAUGCAGGAGCAGAUAAGGAACCUGAGGCCCAGGGAGGGCAAGUGACCAAAGAGACACGGCAGGGCGUGGAUCUGAACCCAGGUCCUGACUCCAGAUCCCCAGCUGUUCAGGUCGGGAAUGGCCUUUAAUCUUUCAUUAAAAUGGCUCAAAAUGAAUCAAUCAUACAGCUGCCUUUCAGGGAUGCAGGCAGAUGGAAGAAGACGAGGGCACGGUUAAUCCAGAAAUCCCAGGAUAAUCCAAAAAUGCUUCCUAGGAAGAGUUCAGGGGCAGCACGAGGUGGGCGCCUUGCCACGUUGUGCAUCAUUAAUUAAAUCAUUCCUCGAUAAAAGUCUAGAAUGUGCACGUAGAAAAUAGGAGGUGGGAGGGCCCUUAAAGCAGACAUGAGCUCGGAGGGGCGUAGGGCACUGAAUGUCAGGACUAGGCGGGGCCUAGAACGCCGCCACAAAGGCCUCACAGCCGUGACAUCAGCCCCAGGACAGGCCCCCCGGGACCCAUAGAGAGAGGGCCCCGGGCAAAAGGACGGGGGCCGCCGGGCUCCAGGGCCC
Non-coding RNA from Phascolarctos cinereus (koala), 1032 nucleotides. The record is from RefSeq and is a predicted model, not a curated record. NCBI's taxonomy places the organism in Eukaryota, Metazoa, Chordata, Mammalia, Diprotodontia, Phascolarctidae.